GUGUGUGUGUGUGUGUGUGUGUUUGUAAGCCCUGUGAAGUUGGCCGAAUACCAAGUUUACACACCAAUCAACUUAUCACCUGAAAAUCAAAUGGACACCCGAACUCAGGUGUUCAGUUGAAAUAACGUCAUUUUCGUGUUCCUCUCACUAAAUUUCAUCAGAAAAAAUAAAAAAAAUAUGAGUGUUUCUUUGACACCAAUUUCCUAAUUUUUUUUACACAGUGUGUGUGAAAUUUUAUGCUCCAUUUUCCCCCUUUACACAGAAAAAUCUGCGCAUGCGCAAAUGUCAUAUCGGAUGUUGUUUAUAAUGGCGGAAGUGAAAUAUGUUGUGACUUACAAGUGACCUCUUCCUUGAAUAUUUGAUGUCACAGUGCUGUUUAAAGAUUCAUCAGUAUGUGAUAUUUGCCCAGAUGGAUCUUAUCCACAUAUUUGGACAAAGAAUAGAAAUUUUCAUGGGAUUUAUCUCCAGAGGUCUAAUGCAGAAUAAAAAUUAAGAGUCUGGACCGAACCGAAUAUGUCACUUGGUGUAUCAAUGGACUAAACCUAUCUUGAGCUGGUACCGGUUUUCUAAGCAACAAUGUUGGUAGGCAGCAGUGGCCCACUGUCUCAGUUUUGCCACAGUCCAGGGUCAGCACCAAGCUACAUGUAUAGGACUCCUACCUGAUUACUAAAAGUAUCGUUAUGAAGAAAAUUUACAAGACUUCUUGAUGACUGGGAAGACAUAUUAAAUCUGGUUGAAUUUACACACUUGGUUGAUUAGCUUUGUCAACACAAUAGCCAAAUAUAAACUAGUUUACUAUUUUAGCAUUAUUUAACAAGUAUAAGUCAGACAGUUUAGAAUUUUAUGAUCCUAUAGUAAAGGAAAAAUUACAGUGUUUAGAUAUAUUCAAUUCAUCUCAGUUGUUCUUAAUGCAUAUGCAUGUACAUGUAUAAAUACAUGUAUAUGACUUUUU
Molecule: long non-coding RNA, 952 nt
Organism: Magallana angulata
Lineage: Eukaryota; Metazoa; Mollusca; Bivalvia; Ostreida; Ostreidae
Exons: 3
Source: RefSeq, a predicted model, not a curated record